Molecule: ribosomal RNA, 253 nt
Filed under: uncultured bacterium
Lineage: Bacteria
Description: partial 16S ribosomal RNA
Rfam family: Bacterial small subunit ribosomal RNA
Source: RNAcentral
UACGUAGGGGGCUAGCGUUGUCCGGAUUUAUUGGGCGUAAAGAGCGUGUAGGCGGCCAGGUAGGUCUGCUGUGAAAACUCGAGGCUCAACCUCGAGACGUCGGCGGAAACCAUCUGGCUAGAGUCCGGAAGAGGAGAGUGGAAUUCCUGGUGUAGCGGUGAAAUGCGCAGAUAUCAGGAAGAACACCAGUGGCGAAGGCGGCUCUCUGGGACGGUACUGACGCUGAGACGCGAAAGCGUGGGGAGCGAACAGG